AACAGAGCUCUAGUGCUCUACACAGUUAUGCAAAACAAUGUUACAAACUUGGAGAGCAAUCAGUGAUCAAUCCAAAUCGCUGAAACAGGGAAUCAAGUACUAAGAUUGGCUUUCAUAUAUAGAAACAAGACACUAAGAUCAUUGGCGUAUUUUUAGCAGCUACCUGGAUCCAGUUCAGCAGUGCAACUUUACAAUACAUUCCUCGUCAAGGACAAAGGGUUCUUUAGCCUACUCUUACCUGAUUUGCUUCUACUGUCAUUCCUCAGCGGUGUCAAGUAGAAUCUCAUCAGACCAUUAUCCACAUUGUUCUGACUAGGCGAAUACCUAGCGCUCUUAUUCCUCAUCAGCAUCAGCUGGUCUCUCCUCUGCGGCGUGCUGCCAUCUUUAUUAUUCUCAAAACUGCCAUUAUUCCUGCCCAUGACCACAUCGCAUGACUUCCUCGCACUAAUGGUACAGCUCCUCGUAAACUUCUCGCCUUCUUCGCUAGCCAACGAUCGAUUAAGUACGCUACCACUGCUGCUGCUCUCUCCAUCCCCAAACUUGCUCUCGC
This 550-nucleotide long non-coding RNA is filed under the name Linum usitatissimum (flax). RNAcentral describes it as "long non-coding RNA (LUSI_LNC001829)". The record is from RNAcentral. Lineage: Eukaryota; Viridiplantae; Streptophyta; Magnoliopsida; Malpighiales; Linaceae.